RNAcentral lists this ribosomal RNA (433 nucleotides) under uncultured bacterium. RNAcentral describes it as "partial 16S ribosomal RNA". It matches the Rfam family "Bacterial small subunit ribosomal RNA", at positions 29 to 507 of the family's 1533-position model. The record is from RNAcentral.
AACGAACGCUGGCGGCAUGCCUAACACAUGCAAGUCGAACGAGACCUUCGGGUCUAGUGGCGCACGGGUGCGUAACGCGUGGGAACCUGCCCUUAGGUUCGGAAUAACUCCCCGAAAGGGGUGCUAAUACCGGAUAAUGUCUUCGGACCAAAGAUUUGUCGCCUUUGGAUGGGCCCGCGUUGGAUUAGCUAGUUGGUAGGGUAAAAGCCUACCAAGGCGACGAUCCAUAGCUGGUCUGAGAGGAUGAUCAGCCACACUGGGACUGAGACACGGCCCAGACUCCUACGGGAGGCAGCAGUGGGGAAUAUUGGACAAUGGGCGAAAGCCUGAUCCAGCAAUGCCGCGUGAGUGAUGAAGGCCUUAGGGUUGUAAAGCUCUUUUACCCGGGAUGAUAAUGACAGUACCGUGAGAAUAAGCUCCGGCUAACUCCGUG